AUGUGUGACUUCACCAAGGACCAGACCGCAGAAUUUAAGGAGGCCUUCCAGCUGUUGGACUGAAUAGGUGAUGGAUAGAUCCUGUACAGCCAGUGUGGAGAUGUAAUGAGGGCCCUGGGCCAGAACCCCACCAACGCCAGGGUGUUCAAGGUCCUGGGAAACCCUAAGAAUGAUGAAAUGAAUGUGAAGGUCUUGGAUUUUCCACACUUCCUGCCCAUGCUGCAGACUGUGGCCAAGAACAAGGACCAGGGCGCCUAUGAGGACUGUGUUGAAGGCCUUCGGGUGUUUGACAAGGAAGGAAACAGCACUGUCAUGGGCGCUGAAAUCCGGCAUGUCCUUGUCACACUGGGUGAGAAGAUGACAGAGGAAGAAGUAGAGAUGCUGGUGGCAGGGCAUGAGGACAGCAAUGGUUGUAUCAACUAUGAAAAGCUCGUCUGAAUGGUGCUGAAUGGCUGA
Elephantulus edwardii (Cape elephant shrew) is the source of this 456-nucleotide RNA transcript. It is a transcript of the gene named myosin, light chain 6, alkali, smooth muscle and non-muscle pseudogene, with no coding region annotated. NCBI's taxonomy places the organism in Eukaryota, Metazoa, Chordata, Mammalia, Macroscelidea, Macroscelididae. The record is from RefSeq and is a predicted model, not a curated record. The transcript has a single exon.